This 460-nucleotide ribosomal RNA is filed under the name uncultured bacterium. RNAcentral's name for it is "partial 16S ribosomal RNA". It matches the Rfam family "Bacterial small subunit ribosomal RNA", at positions 338 to 795 of the family's 1533-position model. The record is from RNAcentral.
CCUACGGGUGGCUGCAGUGAGGAAUAUUGGUCAAUGGACGAGAGUCUGAACCAGCCAAGUCGCGUGAAGGACGACGGCCCUAUGGGUUGUAAACUUCUUUUAUCGGGGAAUAAAAGGAGGCACGUGUGCCUUUUUGAAUGUACUUUACGAAUAAGCAUCGGCUAACUCCGUGCCAGCAGCCGCGGUAAUACGGAGGAUUCGAGCGUUAUCCGGAUUUAUUGGGGUUAAAGGGUGCGGAGUUGGGGUGAUAAGUCAGAUGUGAAAGUUCGCGGCUCAACCCUAGAAUUGCAGUUGAUACUGGCAGUCUUGAGUGCAGGAGAGGUAGGCGGAAUGCGUGGUGUAGCGGUGAAAUGCUUAGAUAUCACGAAGAACCCCGAUGGCGAAGGCAGCUUACUAGACUAUGACUGACGUUGAUGCGCGAAAGUGUGGGUAUCAAACAGGAUUAGAUACCCCUGUAGUC